UCAAAAUUCAGGCUCACCCGAGUGUCAUCUGAGCCCUCACUGUGAGUGUGGAGUGAGUGUGGAAAAACAGUCCAAAUUGACAUUCAUAACGAAGGGCGGGGGAGCGCUUGCUGUCAAAAAUGUGGGUGAAAGAAGCCCUAUUUGACUGUGGAUCGUUUGGCUAAAAAAAAGUAGGUGAUAUUGUCCCCCACACUUGUGUACCAUUUCAUUUCGUGUUGUUGUUGUGUAUUGGUAUUCCACCGUGUGCUCCCGUUGUGUGCCAUUGCGUGUUGUGUGUAUUCGUAUGCCAUCGUGUACUCUCGUACUCUUUUGAUACUUGGCCUGUGUGAGAGAAGAGAGAGAGAGAUAUGGAAAACAAAAACAAAAACGUAAGCAUCGUAGACGAAAAUGGGAAUCCUGGUAAGCGGCCCUUAAGCAUGCUAAGAAAUUUUGAAGAAGAAGAAGAAACAACACUUGAUUCUGGAAACGCUAAAAAGCAGCAAAAAGAGCAACCAUCUGGGACAAUGAAGAAUUAUAUUGUUUUUCCAAAUGGACAAAAACUAGAAAUUCGUGGCACUAUUUGUGGUGCUGUCAAUCUGGAUCAAACUGUAUGUGCGAAACCAUUAUAUGCU
Long non-coding RNA from Anopheles gambiae (African malaria mosquito), 611 nucleotides. RefSeq lists it as uncharacterized. NCBI's taxonomy places the organism in Eukaryota, Metazoa, Arthropoda, Insecta, Diptera, Culicidae. The record is from RefSeq and is a predicted model, not a curated record. The transcript has 4 exons.